UUUCUUUUAGCGGUGUGCUGCGGGGUGACAGUUCUGAGGAGCAUCCUGUCUAACAAGGUGUAGCUGAUGGUUGUAGCUGAUGCAUAAACAUGUGCCCAUCACGCACACGCGGCCUCUCUCUUUCUUUUAAAUCCGUCUCAUACGAAAACACGUGGAGGAAACAAUUAAGUGUGUGGUUAUUGGGAUGUGCCACGUUGAGUUUGGGGACCUGUGCACACGAAGCCUGCCAGAAUGUGUCCGCCUCCUCCUCCUCCUCCUCCCACCAGAAGACAACGCCACGUUCAUUUUUUUGCUCCAUUUUCCAAACAUCUGAUUCUUUAACACGCCUCUCCGCCUGGAAGUCCCUUCCAUUCCUACUGUUUCAGGUGUCUCUUUUUUUUUUCCCUUUUUUUUUUUUUUUUUUUUCAAAUCCUCAAUCCUGUUGCGAGGUGCCUCUCAGAAGUUGAAAAGUUCUUUUCAAGCCCAAAGUUUUUGCCGUCUUCACUUUUCAACUGGCAAGAUGAAUAUCGGUGGGACAAAGCACAGAGAGGAAAGGCUUUUUGACAAGACUUCAGAAGGCCCAGGAGCUCGUCCUGUCUCUCCCUUUUGCAGUCUCGCACGGCUGCCGAAAAAGACGCGGAAUCAAAUGCAAACUGAGGAGUCGCAAUCUUUUAAGCUACAUCAGUGAGGCCCUUGUGGAGAUGCUGCUCUGCUUAGGUUUUUCACAACUUUUGAAAAAUGAGAAAUUGGCGCAUUCUCUUUUGUGUUAUCAGAGCCGCUGACAGUAAGUUCAUGUUCCGUAUGUGCAGGAAGACGAUGCCGCGGAUAUAUGACCCGGAGUGAAGUCGAGUGUGAAGAUGCGGCUUGUCAAGACUGUGUCGGCUUUAGGAGGAGACGUCGUAAGAGCGGAGCUUACACCCAGCGCAGAAUAAUUCUCCCUCAUUCAGCCUCCUACACCACAUCAUAGCUGCUAGCUAUUAGUCAACUUUUAAAGUUGCCUGUAUUGUCGUCAGUCUACUAACCGGUGAUAAACGGUUCCACAGAAACAGCGUGAACCGCAGCAUAUUAGUAAUGAUUACAAAAAAAACGCACCAGCAGCAUAAGCCUCUUCAGCCUUUAGCUUUAACAGACUUUCGACUUGUUUUAAGAUAAAUCAAGCGUGGGGUCUAAAUGACUUGUCAGGAUAAUUUGAGGAUACUAUUACAAAUGAAACAUUUAGUUUGUGGAUGUGGAGCUUUUCAUCUUGAGAUGAAUACAACUGUUUAUCUUAUAUGAACUGAAUGAAUCACAUAACCACAAGACUCACGCUGAGAUUUGCAAGCUAAUACCCGGCCCGAAUGUUUGAAGUGGGGUUUUCCACUGACUGCCUUUUUAAGUCGUCUCCCCGCACCUCUCUCCCCCCGUCGGCAAACUCCGGGAACAAUAGAGGGGACAACAGACAGGCAAUAAUAAAGGGAAGAGGAAGGGAAGAGGAGAAUUUGCAGCCGGAUCUACGCUUCCUGGGUCUCCGCUGCCCCAGAGGCCUUUCCAGGGCCUCCUUACGUGGCACCCGUCCAUGCACGGGAUUUGAAACUGAAAUGAGACUGACUUUGAUGGGAUCUCCCUGCAGCUAAAGUACUAGGACACAACAUGCAUUCAAGUGGGCACUGAGCGGUGGAUGAGAGAGAGUUUCCACACAGUGUCAUCUUUCUCAUUUUUGCACCACAGGGCGUCAGGAUGUCUGGGUUUGUUUUUAGAUUUAAGACGGGCAGUGUGUAACAGUAAUCUAAAGAAGAGACUCACGUGUGUCCCUAAUUUCUAUUCGUAACUCUUGCGACCCCCGUUAUCAAUCUAAACUGUUACAUCAACAUGCUUUGUUAAUGUACAACCUGUGCAAUUCCUCCUCUAUUUACUAUAUUUAUUUUGUAUUGUCUUUUUCAAUUUCUUCAUAUGUGCGAACAUACAAUAAAGACGAUUCUGAUUCAGA
This is a long non-coding RNA of Mugil cephalus (flathead mullet), 1945 nucleotides long. RefSeq lists it as uncharacterized. Lineage: Eukaryota; Metazoa; Chordata; Actinopteri; Mugiliformes; Mugilidae. The record is from RefSeq and is a predicted model, not a curated record. The transcript has 3 exons.